This is an RNA transcript of Panicum virgatum (switchgrass), 3205 nucleotides long. RefSeq lists it as uncharacterized. The transcript is spliced from 3 exons. The record is from RefSeq and is a predicted model, not a curated record. Lineage: Eukaryota; Viridiplantae; Streptophyta; Magnoliopsida; Poales; Poaceae.
CUCCCCUCCUGUUCUCCCUCUCCGCUUGCCUCCGCCGCCCCGACCGCUCCCGUGGGAUCCAGAUCCGGCGCGGGGGGGGGGGGGGGGGGGGGGGGGGCAGCGGCUCCCAAUUCCUUCGCCUAGAUCUGUUCCAGACCUCCACCAAGCUGCCCCUCCAUCCGCCCUCACCCUGGCUCCUCAGCUAGGUCCUAGGCGUCGCCGCCUAGAACUCCUGCACCACCUCGAGCUUGGACGCGCUGCAGCACGGUCUGGCCGAUGCCGGUGCUUGGGCGGGCACGGCAGCCCAGCUCGGACGCAGCACGGACUGCUGCGGGCUGGAGUGGCAGGCAGACAAGGCCACGGGGGCGCGUCGCGGUGGGUCGAGGUUGGCUGCUGGCGAUAGGGCGGCGAGUGGGUCGGUCCCAGCUGGUGCCUCCUGUUUCCCGCCGCCGCCCUCUCUCUCUCUUCGCCACCUCCCUCCCCUUCUUCCUCCCGCCUGCCUCGAUCGCCCCUCCCCGCCGCCAUUGCGCGUCGAGCUCGCUGAGGUCAUUCCCAUUGAAGAAGGCGCUCGCAGCUGGCAACAGUAGGUCACCGCCGCUGCAACUCCUUUGGCUCCGUUUUGUUGUUCUCGCAGGUGUUGAUUGAUCAGUGCCAUGCGCAAGAAACAGGCGCGCUUUUGCAGAUAGCGAGUGAUUUCCCCCAAAUUCCCAGCCUGCAAUCACACCACAACGGCUUCCUCAUAGGUCGUAAUCCACAUCCCCUUCCUCUCCAUUUUAUUUUGCCAUGAGAUCUGCCCAUAUCACUUUUCAUCUGAAAUGUGCAUUGUAGGCCUAGAUCCGUGCACUGCUCCAUUCCGGGCCUAUCCCUGAAUUUGUUGCGUUGCUGCUACAGUAAUGAGAAAUAACCCCCUUAAUCUCCUUUUUCUGAUCCAUAUAUUAUGUUCUCUGGUGCCCUGAUGUUAUUAGUUAUCUUUUUUUAUUUGUGACUUGCUUGCCUUUCAUUAUCCGCUGGUUGAAGCCUCAAAAACAAUCAGGUGAUACACACAUUUGGACUAAUGAAAUGACAAUAUGAUGUGAAGGGUUUGGGCUAAUGAAAUGACAGUACUAAUGUUUUUGCAAUGAUGCAUUUAGGCAUAUGCGGCUACAAUCCAUAUGUCUGUUCUUUCAUUACUGAUCUGAGGCAUUUGGUAUGAGCAAUGAUAAUUGCCAUUCCUUUUAUGAUCUCUCUACUAUCUUCUUAAUGAUCUGAUGUAUUUGCUUGGCAUAUGCAGCUAUGGUUAUCAUUCCUUUUUUGAUCUCUCUAUCUUCUGUUACUGAUCUGAGUCAUUUGGCAUAUGCAGUGAAUAUGAUCAUUCUGACUUUGAUCUUCUAUUCUCCUAUUUAUUUAUAAACUAAGGUUGGCAUCUGCACUCUGCAGUGUUAGCAUCCAUUGUCUGCAUACUGUACUGAGUACUGACCCAUUUGAACUUAUGCAUGAGAAACAAUAUUUUAGAUAAUGAGACGAGUCAUUUGGGGCAAAAGAUCUUUGUGUGAGACUGAGAGUAAUAAACUAAUAAUAUUCUGACAACUGGCUGACUAUCUACAAUCCAGUUUGUAAUUGAACUUAAUUUUUGCUUUCCCAGUUCACACAUUGUAUGACAUAUGGAGGUCAAAAUUUCUUUUGACAAUGAAUUGAAGUUAUAGCAGGAUCUCAUGUACACCGAUUAUCCACAUAAAUGAGAAGUGAGGCACAAGCAUUAAGAAUACCUGGUAGUCAUGCGUACUCGUGAUAUUAUGAUGAAUGGAUGUUCAAACGUCUUUUUUUAUUUCUGAAAUCAUCUGCAGUUUUGGAAGGGAAUUGUAUGUCCUAAGAAUAUAUUAUGCUGCAGACGAGAUAGAUGGAGCAUAGGAAAGGAGGUGAUAUCUUUAUUGAAUCAGUAAUGCCAUUUGUAAAACUCUAUUUAAAAAGAUUCAUAUUAUCUUGUGAAACUUAUUUAAAAUGAUUCACAUUAUCUUGUACUGUCACCUCUGACUCCUAUAACAUAGUUCUCAAGUGAUUGAGUCCUUACAUUUUGACAUAACUAUUUCAAAAAUUAUUAGUUACAUCAACUUCAUGAAUUCUGAUUGAAUUUGUUUGCUGUUGUUUGUUUCAAAAGCUUUCUUAUUCCAUGGGUAGAAAUAGAAUUCGGCUAUUCCAUGAUUCAGUGGUCAAUGAUUAACUAUAGGAUUUUUCUCCUUAAGAAGCAGAUAGCAUUUAAAGACUCUGAUUUCUAACAUGCUCUUAUGUUACAGAGAAGAAGCAGUCUGAACCUUUUCUGAUCAUAGAGCAUUACUCCGAUAAAAUACAUGUAAGCUUCUGCACUCAUAUAUACACUGCUUAGAUGAAUAUUAUUUCUAUCAUUGAUAAUUGUUAAUCUGUAUGUGAUUCAGAUCACUCAUGUUUUAGGAUGUUAACAAAGUCCUUGCCUGCAAGGCUACAACCGCUUCAGUGAAAUAGGUAGCACGUCAAAUUUAGCUUUGCGUGAUCUCAGAUUCACCUGCGCUGAGAUCUACUUAGCUUGUAACUAGCUACAACAAACAGUAAUUAUUUUCAGUAUGCUUGUUGGUUUAUGAUAAUAUUUUAUUAUUACAUACAUAGAAGCAAACUAACCUUCUGAACAUGUAUAAUUAAGUGGCACUUGAAUUACUCUUCUGUUACUUUAUUCUUUGUAGUAAAUAUUGAUGCAUUAUGCCCAUUGGCAAUCAUGCAUGUUCUGAAGCCAGCAAACUCAUAAGAAUUGUGUGGCCGCACAAGUUGAGUCGAUCUCGACCUAAGUAUGCUGGAUUUACCCUGCUCACAGGAGUUGAUAUGCUAAUUAUCAGUGUAUAUACCCAACCUGAACAGUGUUGAAUUAAAUAUAGUUCUAUCUCGCAUUCCAGUUCACAAUUUCUAUUGCUACUGUCAUGAUUGGACGUGCAAAGCGAGAUUAUUUGGUAGCUAUGCAUACUUGCUGCAUGUAGAUUUAUGAUGCACGGAUGUGGUGUAGUAUUGAUGCUCCAAAUAUUGGACAAACACCUGAUGAUAGGAUAAACUAGUGCUAGGAUGUAACUAUGCUGAUGGAUGCAUUGUGAUGUUCAUUAUUGAGAUGCUGGAUAGACACCUGAUGCAUAAGAGAGCCCGGUGGUGCUCGGAUUCGGAUGUGUUGUAAUAUUCAUUAUUCGAUAGACACUUGAUGGCUAGGAUAGCUUCGUGUUCGAAUGUGCUAUAA